Molecule: ribosomal RNA, 342 nt
Filed under: Triticum aestivum (bread wheat)
Lineage: Eukaryota; Viridiplantae; Streptophyta; Magnoliopsida; Poales; Poaceae
Description: partial small subunit ribosomal RNA
Source: RNAcentral
AUGAUGGAACCUCAGGAGGGAUGUUGGAUCACGGAGCUCCGGAGCUACCUAACACAAGGGACCUUGCCGGAGAAGGAGGAGGAAGCAGAGCGAGUGGCGCGCCAAGCCACGGCAUACUACAUCAAAGAUGGAGAGCUCUACCGGAAGCGACCAAACAAUGUAUCCCUGCGUUGCAUCUCCAGGGAGCAAGGGAAGGAACUACUGGAAGAUAUACACGGCGGAGACUGCGGACAUCAUUCGUCAUCACGGACCCUUGUUGGCAAGGCGUUCCGCAGUGGGUUUUACUGGCCCACCGCGCUCAAUGAUGCCGUUGAACUAGUGAAGGCUUGUGGGGCCCGCUAG